AACGAACGCUGGCGGCAUGCCUAACACAUGCAAGUCGAACGAGAUCUUCGGGUCUAGUGGCGCACGGGUGCGUAACGCGUGGGAAUCUGCCCUUUGGCUCGGAAUAACAGUUGGAAACGACUGCUAAUACCGGAUGAUGACGAAAGUCCAAAGAUUUAUCGCCAGAGGAUGAGCCCGCGUAGGAUUAGCUAGUUGGUGUGGGAAAGGCGCACCAAGGCGACGAUCCUUAGCUGGUCUGAGAGGAUGAUCAGCCACACUGGGACUGAGACACGGCCCAGACUCCUACGGGAGGCAGCAGUGGGGAAUAUUGGACAAUGGGCGAAAGCCUGAUCCAGCAAUGCCGCGUGAGUGAUGAAGGCCUUAGGGUUGUAAAGCUCUUUUACCCGGGAUGAUAAUGACAGUACCGGGAGAAUAAGCUCCGGCUAACUCCGUGCCAGCAGCCGCCGCGG
RNAcentral lists this ribosomal RNA (449 nucleotides) under uncultured bacterium. Its description in RNAcentral is "partial 16S ribosomal RNA". It matches the Rfam family "Bacterial small subunit ribosomal RNA", at positions 29 to 523 of the family's 1533-position model. The record is from RNAcentral.